GGGCAGUUAGAUCAGCUGGAAGAUCGCCUGCUUUGCAAGCAGGAGGCCGCGCGUUCAAAUCGCGCACUGUCCACCA
This 76-nucleotide transfer RNA is filed under the name Methanomethylophilus alvi. Its description in RNAcentral is "Candidatus Methanomethylophilus alvus tRNA-Ala". It matches the Rfam family "tRNA". From Rfam's summary of the family: Transfer RNA (tRNA) molecules are approximately 80 nucleotides in length. Their secondary structure includes four short double-helical elements and three loops (D, anti-codon, and T loops). RNAcentral also lists the same sequence under 3 other names. The record is from RNAcentral. Lineage: Archaea; Methanobacteriati; Thermoplasmatota; Thermoplasmata; Methanomassiliicoccales; Methanomethylophilaceae.